Molecule: ribosomal RNA, 446 nt
Filed under: uncultured bacterium
Lineage: Bacteria
Description: partial 16S ribosomal RNA
Rfam family: Bacterial small subunit ribosomal RNA
Source: RNAcentral
GACCAGACUCCUACGGGAGGCAGCAGUGGGGAAUAUUGCACAAUGGGGGAAACCCUGAUGCAGCGACGCCGCGUGAGCGAUGAAGUAUUUCGGUAUGUAAAGCUCUAUCAGCAGGGAAGAAAAUGACGGUACCUGACUAAGAAGCCCCGGCUAACUACGUGCCAGCAGCCGCGGUAAUACGUAGGGGGCAAGCGUUAUCCGGAUUUACUGGGUGUAAAGGGAGCGUAGACGGCAAUGCAAGCCAGAUGUGAAAGCCCGGGGCUCAACCCCGGGACUGCAUUUGGAACUGUGUAGCUGGAGUGUCGGAGAGGCAGGCGGAAUUCCUAGUGUAGCGGUGAAAUGCGUAGAUAUCAGGAGGAACACCGGUGGCGAAGGCGGCCUGCUGGACUGCGACUGACGUUGAGGCCCGAAAGCGUGGGGAGCAAACAGGAUUAGAUACCCCUGUA